GACCGGACAAUUACCUAUAGCCUCGGCUAUAAGUAAUUGUUAGUGGCAGACGGGUGAGUAAUGCGUAGGAAUCUACCUAGUAGUAUGGAAUAGCCAUUAGAAAUGAUGGGUAAUACUGUAUAAUCCCUGCGGGGGAAAGAUUUAUCGCUAUUAGAUGAGCCUACGUUAGAUUAGCUAGUUGGUAAGGUAAUGGCUUACCAAGGCUAUGAUCUAUAGCUGGUCUGAGAGGACGAUCAGCCACACUGGAACUGAGAUACGGUCCAGACUCCUACGGGAGGCAGCAGUGGGGAAUAUUGGACAAUGGGCGAAAGCCUGAUCCAGCUAUGCCGCGUGAGGAUCACCAUAUACUGUCGCACGCCG
This 360-nucleotide ribosomal RNA is filed under the name Ehrlichia chaffeensis. RNAcentral describes it as "bacterial SSU rRNA". It matches the Rfam family "Bacterial small subunit ribosomal RNA", at positions 60 to 400 of the family's 1533-position model. Lineage: Bacteria; Pseudomonadati; Pseudomonadota; Alphaproteobacteria; Rickettsiales; Anaplasmataceae. The record is from RNAcentral.